GCUCUUUGGUGAUUCAUGAUAACUUAACGGAUCGCAUGGCCUUGCGCCGGCGACGGUUCAUUCAAAUUUCUGCCCUAUCAACUUUCGAUGGUAAGGUAUUGGCUUACCAUGGUUUCAACGGGUAACGGGGAAUUAGGGUUCGAUUCCGGAGAGGGAGCCUGAGAAACGGCUACCACAUCCAAGGAAGGCAGCAGGCGCGCAAAUUACCCAAUCCCGACACGGGGAGGUAGUGACAAUAAAUACUGAUACAGGGCUCUUUUGGGUCUUGUAAUCGGAAUGAGUACAAUUUAAACCCCUUAACGAGGAACAAUUGGAGGGCAAGUCUGGUGCCAGCAGCCGCGGUAAUUCCAGCUCCAAUAGCGUAUAUUAAAGUUGUUGCAGUUAAAAAGCUCGUAGUUGAACCUUGGGCCUGGCUGGCCGGUCCGCCUCACCGCGUGUACUGGUCCGGCCGGGCCUUUCCUUCUGGAGAGCCCCAUGCCCUUCACUGGGCGUGCGGGGGAACCAGGACUUUUACUUUGAAAAAAUUAGAGUGUUCAAAGCAGGCCUUUGCUCGAAUACGUUAGCAUGGAAUAAUAGAAUAGGACGUGCGGUCCUAUUUUGUUGGUUUCUAGGACCGCCGUAAUGAUUAAUAGGGAUAGUCGGGGGCAUCAGUAUUCAAUUGUCAGAGGUGAAAUUCUUGGAUUUAUUGAAGACUAACUACUGCGAAAGCAUUUGCCAAGGAUGUUUUCAUUAAUCAGUGAACGAAAGUUAGGGGAUCGAAGACGAUCAGAUACCGUCGUAGUCUUAACCGUAAAACCAAUGACUUACCACGCCAUAGAGGUGAUGUUUUCUGAUCGCCACGCAACUACGCCCAAGUUUUUGGGU
RNAcentral lists this ribosomal RNA (864 nucleotides) under Pleosporales sp. Rco034EF4. RNAcentral's name for it is "SSU rRNA". It matches the Rfam family "Eukaryotic small subunit ribosomal RNA", at positions 238 to 1112 of the family's 1831-position model. Lineage: Eukaryota; Fungi; Ascomycota; Dothideomycetes; Pleosporales. The record is from RNAcentral.